GAUGAACGCUGGCGGCGUGCCUAAUACAUGCAAGUCGAGCGAACGGACGAGAAGCUUGCUUCUCUGAUGUUAGCGGCGGACGGGUGAGUAACACGUGGAUAACCUACCUAUAAGACUGGGAUAACUUCGCGAAACCGGAGCUAAUACCGGAUGAUAUUUUGAACCGCAUGGUUCAAAAGUGAAAGACGGUCUUGCUGUCACUUAUAGAUGGAUCCGCGCUGCAUUAGCUAGUUGGUAAGGUAACGGCUUACCAAGGCAACGAUGCAUAGCCGACCUGAGAGGGUGAUCGGCCACACUGGAACUGAGACACGGUCCAGACUCCUACGGGAGGCAGCAGUAGGGAAUCUUCCGCAAUGGGCGAAAGCCUGACGGAGCAACGCCGCGUGAGUGAUGAAGGUCUUCGGAUCGUAAAACUCUGUUAUUAGGGAAGAACAUAUGUGUAAGUAACUGUGCACAUCUUGACGGUACCUAAUCAGAAAGCCACGGCUAACUACGUG
This 497-nucleotide ribosomal RNA is filed under the name uncultured bacterium. RNAcentral's name for it is "partial 16S ribosomal RNA". It matches the Rfam family "Bacterial small subunit ribosomal RNA", at positions 28 to 507 of the family's 1533-position model. The record is from RNAcentral.